AUACGGAGGGGGCUAGCGUUGUUCGGAAUUACUGGGCGUAAAGCGCGCGUAGGCGGCCAUGCAAGUUGGGCGUGAAAGCCCGGGGCUCAACCCCGGAAUUGCGUUCAAGACUGCAUGGCUCGAGACCGAGAGAGGUGAGUGGAAUUCCCAGUGUAGAGGUGAAAUUCGUAGAUAUUGGGAAGAACACCAGUGGCGAAGGCGGCUCACUGGCUCGGUACUGACGCUGAGGUGCGAAAGCGUGGGGAGCAAACAGGAGUAGAAACCCCAGUAGUCC
RNAcentral lists this ribosomal RNA (274 nucleotides) under uncultured bacterium. RNAcentral describes it as "partial 16S ribosomal RNA". It matches the Rfam family "Bacterial small subunit ribosomal RNA", at positions 523 to 796 of the family's 1533-position model. The record is from RNAcentral.